Cyprinus carpio carpio is the source of this 1634-nucleotide long non-coding RNA. NCBI's taxonomy places the organism in Eukaryota, Metazoa, Chordata, Actinopteri, Cypriniformes, Cyprinidae. The record is from Ensembl.
CGUCCCCUCAUCUAGAGCAGCAUAUUUUAAUUCCUCACUGUGUUAAAGAUUUAAUCCUCAUUUGCCUGAGGCCCUCUGGGCACAAAGCACUGACAUUUGGAAUAAUUGUUGUUGCAGGGUAAUCUCACGAGGGGGUACAGAGGCAGAGAGAGGAUCUGCGGAAAGGACUAUGUCAGCUUUUAUUUAUUUGCACAGGAAUCGCCAGAGGCAUCUCCUCCUCAUCACAAUUAUGAAGCUGGCCCUGAGAGAGAGAGAGAGAGAAAGAGAGAGAGAGAGAGAGAGAGAGAGAGAGAGAGAGAGAGACUGCAAAAGAAAGAACUGAAACUUGCCACGGUUUGCUAAACAAAUGGCCAUACUGGCGGGGUUGAUUCCACCGGUGUGCCAUUCCUGCCCUGUUUACCUGUUAAUAACUCUAUCAGUCCCUCGAGCCGCCGGAGCCCACCUGCAGCACCGCCACACAAGACGAGCAUGCCACACCCUCACCCAGAGCAAUGCCUGCUGGGAGCCGGCAGCAGAUGUUUACCUGGCACAGGUGAGGCCCUGAGAUGAGACGAGAACAGCAAACAAGUGUUAAAGCAUGUGUACAGCCCACACACACACACACAGACAUACACGCAUGCAGAAUACAGCUGUGCUGAGACGCCUGUCAGACCGAGCACUGAGCCGUAUACAGCGCUCAACAGAUUCACCACAAAAACCAGCCUGAACUCCUUCAGAAAAAAAAGACAUGUUUGUAUGGAGAAAAAAACAUCAUCAUUCCCAGCGUUUCCCAGGCCGUACGUGAGCUCGCUGAGGCCUGAGACUGGCGGUAAUGGGCUGUUUAUGUGUUUAUUUGUUUGUUUGUUUGUGUGAGUUGGAAGUGAGGGAGGAAUGAUGAACGAGAGCUCAUUUCCUUCGACGGCCUCCGUAUCACAGGAUGGAUGAGAGCGGAGAGAGCGUUCUAUUCACGCGGACGGAGGGGGCAGUUAACCUGUUAGUGUUCCACUGUUCUGCCCGCAGUACACUGCGUGUUUUUGAGGGUUAACUUUGUGACAUACAACAACUCCUUGGAAAGCUGAGAUUCUUGUUAUUCGAAUGAUGCAAACCAUUUUAAGAUACAAUCAACACAGCAGGUACAAUCAGCAUCUUUCUCAAACCGCAAACAAGGCUUCAUGCUGUGAUCCCAUUGCGUUUUCCAGCUAAUAGCUCCCAGUUAUAGUCAUCUGCAGGCAUCUGUUUAAAAAAACAAAACAAAAAAAAAGUUUUCUUACUUCUUUUUCAGUAUGUUCAAAGUUCUAUUACGCAAUACCAGUAAGACUUACAGUGAUUCUGAGAGUGUCACCUUUCAAAAAAGACCAAAGCCAUCCAUAUACUCCAAAUGGUUCAAGAACAGCAUGAAAUGUACUUUGGGAAUGCCUUUUUAAGGAAUGCUAAUGUGUUAAUUACUUAGGACUGAUUAGUCCACUGAGUGCCGCCCCGUGGCAGCCAUAUUGGGCCGCCCGCUCCGGGGUUCACAGGUUAGAUUCACAUCACAGAGUCUAAUUGUAAUUGAUCUUGGUGGUUUAACUCUGUGAUCUCAGAUAAAGAAUACUGCUAUCACUGAACUUGUGUGAGUAUGUCUUGUAGAAAAUGAACGAAAUGCAGACUGAAGUCAG